AUUGAACGCUGGCGGUAUGCCUUACACAUGCAAGUCGAACGGUAGAGGAGCAAUCCUUGAGAGUGGCGAACGGGUGAGUAAAGCAUCGGAACGUACCCAGUUGUGGGGGAUAACGUAGCGAAAGUUACGCUAAUACCGCAUACGCACUGAGGUGGAAAGCGGGGGAUCGCAAGACCUCGCGCAAUUGGAGCGGCCGAUGUCGGAUUAGCUUGUUGGUGGGGGUAAAAAGCCUACCAAGGCGACGAUCCGUAGCUGGUCUGAGAGGACGACCAGCCACACUGGGACUGAGACACGGCCCAGACUCCUACGGGAGGCAGCAGUGGGGAAUUUUGGACAAUGGGCGAAAGCCUGAUCCAGCCAUGCCGCGUGAGUGAAGAAGGCCUUC
Molecule: ribosomal RNA, 385 nt
Filed under: uncultured bacterium
Lineage: Bacteria
Description: bacterial SSU rRNA
Rfam family: Bacterial small subunit ribosomal RNA
Source: RNAcentral